Molecule: ribosomal RNA, 498 nt
Filed under: uncultured bacterium
Lineage: Bacteria
Description: partial 16S ribosomal RNA
Rfam family: Bacterial small subunit ribosomal RNA
Source: RNAcentral
AUUGAACGCUGGCGGCAGGCCUAACACAUGCAAGUCGAGCGGUUGAGGUAGCUUGCUACCGAUGCAGCGGCGGACGGGUGAGUAAUACAUGGGAAUCUGCCUGGUAGUGGGGGACAACGUUUCGAAAGGAACGCUAAUACCGCAUACGCCCUACGGGGGAAAGGGGGGGAUCUUCGGACCUCUCGCUAUCAGAUGAGCCCAUGUCGGAUUAGCUUGUUGGUGAGGUAAAGGCUCACCAAGGCGACGAUCCGUAACUGGUCUGAGAGGAUGAUCAGUCACACUGGAACUGGGACACGGUCCAGACUCCUACGGGAGGCAGCAGUGGGGAAUAUUGGACAAUGGGCGCAAGCCUGAUCCAGCCAUGCCGCGUGUGUGAAGAAGGCCUUAGGGUUGUAAAGCACUUUCAGUGGGGAGAAAGGUUAUUCACCUAAUACGUGAGUAAAUUGAUGUUACCCACAGAAGAAGCACCGGCUAACUCCGUGCCAGCCGCCGCUGUAA